UUGGAGGGCAAGUCUGGUGCCAGCAGCCGCGGUAAUUCCAGCUCCAAUAGCGUAUAUUAAAGUUGUUGCAGUUAAAAAGCUCGUAGUUGAAUUUCGGGAUCAAUACGUCGGUCGUGCUUUUUUGGUACGCACUGGCGUCAUUGGUUUCUCCUUUCUGACGAACCAUGAUGUCAUUAAUUUGGUGUUAUGGGGAGUUAGGACUGUUACUUUGAAAAAAUUAGAGUGUUUAAAGCAGGCAUUAGCUUGAAUACAUUAGCAUGGAAUAAUGAAAUAGGACGUUCGAUCCUAUUUUGUUGGUUUCUAGGAUCAACGUAAUGAUUAAUAGGGAUAGUUGGGGGCAUUAGUAUUCAAUUGUCAGAGGUGAAAUUCUUGGAUUUAUUGAAGACUAACUACUGCGAAAGCAUUUGCCAAGGAUGUUUUCAUUAAUCAAGAACGAAAGUUAGGGGAUCGAAGACGAUCAGAUACCGUCGUAGUCUUAACCAUAAACUAUGCCGACUAGGGAUCGGAUGAUGUCAAUUUUUUAAUGACUCAUUCGGCGCCUUACGGGAAAC
This 551-nucleotide ribosomal RNA is filed under the name uncultured Glomeromycotina. RNAcentral's name for it is "SSU rRNA". It matches the Rfam family "Eukaryotic small subunit ribosomal RNA", at positions 548 to 1098 of the family's 1831-position model. The record is from RNAcentral. Lineage: Eukaryota; Fungi; Glomeromycota.